RNAcentral lists this ribosomal RNA (216 nucleotides) under Escherichia coli. Its description in RNAcentral is "partial 16S ribosomal RNA". It matches the Rfam family "Bacterial small subunit ribosomal RNA", at positions 1 to 215 of the family's 1533-position model. Lineage: Bacteria; Pseudomonadati; Pseudomonadota; Gammaproteobacteria; Enterobacterales; Enterobacteriaceae. The record is from RNAcentral.
AAAUUGAAGAGUUUGAUCAUGGCUCAGAUUGAACGCUGGCGGCAGGCCUAACACAUGCAAGUCGAACGGUAACAGAAAGCAGCUUGCUGCUUUGCUGACGAGUGGCGGACGGGUGAGUAAUGUCUGGGAAACUGCCUGAUGGAGGGGGAUAACUACUGGAAACGGUAGCUAAUACCGCAUAAUGUCGAAAGACCAAAGAGGGGGACCUUCGGGCCU